ACUCCUACGGGAGGCAGCAGUGAGGAAUAUUGGACAAUGGGGGGCAACCCUGAUCCAGCCAUGCCGCGUGAGUGAUGACGGCCUUAGGGUUGUAAAGCUCUUUCGCUAGGGAAGAUAAUGACGGUACCUAGUAAAGAAGCCCCGGCUAACUUCGUGCCAGCAGCCGCGGUAAUACGAAGGGGCUAGCGUUGUUCGGAAUCACUGGGCGUAAAGCGCGCGUAGGCGGACUUUUAAGUCAGGGGUGAAAUCCCGGGGCUCAACCUCGGAACUGCCUUUGAUACUGGAAGUCUUGAGUUCGAGAGAGGUGAGUGGAAUACCGAGUGUAGAGGUGAAAUUCGUAGAUAUUCGGUGGAACACCAGUGGCGAAGGCGGCUCACUGGCUCGAUACUGACGCUGAGGUGCGAAAGNGUGGGGAGCAAACAGGAUUAGAUACCCU
This 436-nucleotide ribosomal RNA is filed under the name uncultured bacterium. Its description in RNAcentral is "bacterial SSU rRNA". It matches the Rfam family "Bacterial small subunit ribosomal RNA", at positions 335 to 788 of the family's 1533-position model. The record is from RNAcentral.